AGUGAACGCUGGCGGUAGGCCUAACACAUGCAAGUCGAACGGCAGCACAGUAAGAGCUUGCUCUUACGGGUGGCGAGUGGCGGACGGGUGAGGAAUACAUCGGAAUCUACUUUUUCGUGGGGGAUAACGUAGGGAAACUUACGCUAAUACCGCAUACGACCUACGGGUGAAAGCAGGGGAUCUUCGGACCUUGCGCGAUUGAAUGAGCCGAUGUCGGAUUAGCUAGUUGGCGGGGUAAAGACCCACCAAGGCGGCGAUCGGUAGCUGGUCUGAGAGGAUGAUCAGCCACACUGGAACUGAGACACGGUCCAGACUCCUACGGGAGGCAGCAGUGGGGAAUAUUGGACAAUGGGCGCAAGCCUGAUCCAGCCAUACCGCGUGGGUGAAGAAGGCCUUCGGGUUGUAAAGCCCUUUUGUUGGGAAAGAAAAGCAGCAGGUUAAUACCCCGCUGUUCUGACGGUACCCAAAGAAUAAGCACCGGCUAACUUCGUG
This 492-nucleotide ribosomal RNA is filed under the name uncultured bacterium. RNAcentral's name for it is "partial 16S ribosomal RNA". It matches the Rfam family "Bacterial small subunit ribosomal RNA", at positions 29 to 507 of the family's 1533-position model. The record is from RNAcentral.